GGCUGUCGUCAGCUCGUGUCGUGAGAUGUUGGGUUAAGUCCCGCAACGAGCGCAACCCACGUCUUUAGUUGCCAGCAUUAAGUUGGGCACUCUAGAGAGACUGCCGGUGAUAAACCGGAGGAAGGUGUGGAUGACGUCAAGUCAUCAUGCCCCUUACAUCCUGAGCUACACACGUACUACAAUGCUACGGACAAAGGGCAGCAAACUCGCGAGAGCUAGCAAAUCCCAUAAACCGUGGCUCAGUUCAGAUCGUAGGCUGCAACUCGCCUACGUGAAGGAGGAAUCGCUAGUAAUCGCAGGUCAGCAUACUGCGGUGAAUACGUUCCCGGGCCUUGUACACACCGCCCGUCACACCAUGGAAGUUGGCCACGCCCGAAGUCGUUACUCCAACCCGCAAGGGAGGAGGAUGCCGAAGGUGGGGCUGAUGACUGGGGUGAAGUCGUAACAAGGUAGCCGUACCGGAAGGUGCGGCUGGAUCACCUCCUAA
RNAcentral lists this ribosomal RNA (487 nucleotides) under uncultured cyanobacterium. Its description in RNAcentral is "bacterial SSU rRNA". It matches the Rfam family "Bacterial small subunit ribosomal RNA", at positions 1047 to 1533 of the family's 1533-position model. The record is from RNAcentral. Lineage: Bacteria; Bacillati; Cyanobacteriota.